Molecule: long non-coding RNA, 1739 nt
Organism: Triticum aestivum (bread wheat)
Lineage: Eukaryota; Viridiplantae; Streptophyta; Magnoliopsida; Poales; Poaceae
Exons: 6
Source: RefSeq, a predicted model, not a curated record
GGGUGGGCCAGUUGCGUAGCUGCUGGCGUCGCUCCGUGAUUGCCGACGUCUGAGCCGUGGCUCAGAACUUGUACGAUGGUAGUCCAGUUCGUCAGGGGCCAAACUGAGCCGUCCCUGGACUGCACGUCUGUUUGUGGGGUCCGCCUGGGAGACAUGUCGAGGGUUCGGGACGGCCGGUUUGACGAGCAAUGAGGUCGUCGAUUGCUGGUGGGGAGGUACCCCGCGGUAAUGGCGGCCGCGGCGGAUGCAGUUCGCUGGUUCCCAAUCAGGGAGGAGUUCGCGGACAGCUUGGAGCAGCCAAAUCCGGACACUCUAGGGUUCCUCCGUCCGUCCAUGGCUGCUGGGCUGCAUCGCCGCUCACGCCGUUGCCACCGCCCCAUCGACGUCGACCCCGACGCCACCGCUGCUCUCUAGAUCUCAGUCUCGCCGGCGCUCCUCACUGCCUUGCUCCCCUCUACUGGACAGCUGCUCGCCGGUGUCGUCUUUCUCCUGUACUGGUCGGCAGCAUCUCGUUCUCGGGCACUAACAAGUCCAUGUCCCCUUCGUUCUGCACGAUAUCUCUAGCCCGACAGCCUCCACCAGACACCACGGGUUCCCACUCCUGGAGGAGUUCACCGACAGCCAUCGACAACCAGAUCCAAUACUUCUGGUGUUGUUACCGUCAGACGAGACCAACAGAUCCGUGCCAGCAGACUCGAAUACUGAGUCUGGAUGCCAGGCGAGGCCACGGUAGGGCUUGCGGCGGAGACGGGAGGUAUCUCCAACUCGUUCCACACAGUCAGCUGACAGGGUCAACCCCGAGGCGUAAUGCACCUUUCGUCGGACCUGAAGGCUGAGCUGACUCCUGGUGGUGAGGUGACGUUAAAUGUCCGGAGAUGCAUGCAGCACAUGCUGAAUGCAAAUGAGAAGAGGAUGUACCGCGGGUGGCUCGCGAGGUGGAGGGAUCCGUGCUUUGUGAGCUUUGCAGGGCAGACAAUGAAGUGGACUGGGAUGAACUUUAAUUGAUAGGGUACAAAAUUGAUUGGCUGAAGAAGGUAAGCGUGUCGGAUGGGGUAACUGAAGACGUACUUAAUCGUAUGCCGCGGCCGCCAGAGUUCAUUCCUGAAGGCCUGCGCGUUUCUGGCGUUCCAUAGGCUGGUUGCGCAUGCGGCGAAAAGGAUAUGCCACAGCUUGCCAUGGAUGGCCCCUGGUUGCUCCGCCUUGAAGAAGUGUGGGAUUCCAUCGGAGGAGACGGCAAUCUCCUUUAGUCCCAGCUUGUCCCAAACUGCAUCUGCCAGUCUGCAUCUUAGUAUGACAUGGCUCAUUGUUUCUGUGGCUCGGCAUAGAUCACAUCCAUUGUGUGCUACAAUCUUGUCCCAUCUUCAUUCUGGAGUUCACUGGUCUUUACCUUCGUUCGAUGCUUACCCAACAGGCACAGCUUGAGCACCUAAAUAAGAAAGAAAAUUGCAUACGAGGUCGUGAUCAUGAAGGGGAACAAGGGAGAUAUCCUGUAUUUCCUGCACAACGAAAUCGUUGGCUGUGCGUGUGCUUUUCCGUGGAAUUGCCCGUUUACGUUGAUGCCCCACACCCGUUUGUAGGUGAAUAGGCUAUGGGCCUGCGUUAAGUUUUUUACUUAAGAGACCUAAGCAGACUAAUUAAAACUACGGACGUGCGAGCAAAGUUUUAUGGACAGAUUACCCCCUAUCUGAAUUCGCAAUGUCAUAAAUAUUGCGAUUUGUGCUCUUACUAAACGUGAAAGG